RNAcentral lists this ribosomal RNA (485 nucleotides) under uncultured bacterium. RNAcentral's name for it is "bacterial SSU rRNA". It matches the Rfam family "Bacterial small subunit ribosomal RNA", at positions 30 to 507 of the family's 1533-position model. The record is from RNAcentral.
AUUGAACGCUGGCGGCAUGCUUUACACAUGCAAGUCGAACGGCAGCACGGGUGCUUGCACCUGGUGGCGAGUGGCGGACGGUGAGUAAUACAUCGGAACGUGUCCAGAAGAGGGGGAUAACGCAUCGAAAGAUGUGCUAAUACCGCAUAUACUCUAAGGAGGAAAGCAGGGGAUCGAAAGACCUUGCGCUUUUGGAGCGGCCGAUGUCUGAUUAGCUAGUUGGUGGGGUAAUGGCCUACCAAGGCGACGAUCAGUAGUUGGUCUGAGAGGACGACCAGCCACACUGGGACUGAGACACGGCCCAGACUCCUACGGGAGGCAGCAGUGGGGAAUUUUGGACAAUGGGCGCAAGCCUGAUCCAGCAAUGCCGCGUGAGUGAAGAAGGCCUUCGGGUUGUAAAGCUCUUUCAGUCGAGAAGAAAAGGCUGCAGUGAAUAACUGUAGUUUAUGACGGUAUCGACAGAAGAAGCACCGGCUAACUACGUG